This 643-nucleotide ribosomal RNA is filed under the name Flavobacterium sp. F3. RNAcentral describes it as "bacterial SSU rRNA". It matches the Rfam family "Bacterial small subunit ribosomal RNA", at positions 28 to 672 of the family's 1533-position model. The record is from RNAcentral. Lineage: Bacteria; Pseudomonadati; Bacteroidota; Flavobacteriia; Flavobacteriales; Flavobacteriaceae.
GAUGAACGCUAGCGGGAGGCCUAACACAUGCAAGCCGAGCGGUAGAGAUUCUUCGGAAUCUUGAGAGCGGCGCACGGGUGCGGAACACGUGUGCAGCCUGCCUUUAUCUAGGAGAUAGCCUUUCGAAAGGAAGAUUAAUACCCCAUAAUAUAAGAAACGGCAUCGUUUUUUAUUGAAAGCUCCGGCGGAUAGAGAUGGGCACGCGCAAGAUUAGAUAGUUGGUGAGGUAACGGCUCACCAAGUCAAUGAUCUUUAGGGGGCCUGAGAGGGUGAUCCCCCACACUGGUACUGAGACACGGACCAGACUCCUACGGGAGGCAGCAGUGAGGAAUAUUGGACAAUGGGUGAGAGCCUGAUCCAGCCAUCCCGCGUGAAGGACGACGGCCCUAUGGGUUGUAAACUUCUUUUGUAUAGGGAUAAACCUACUCACGUGUGAGUAGCUGAAGGUACUAUACGAAUAAGCACCGGCAAACUCCGUGCCAGCAGCCGCGGUAAUACGGAGGGUGCAAGCGUUAUCCGGAUUUAUUGGGUUUAAANGGUCCCGUANGCGGAUCUGUAAGUCAAUGGGGAAAUCUCACANCUUACUGUGAAACUGGCAUUGNUCUGCANGNCUUGGAUAAAUUUGAAGUGGCUGGAAUAAGUA